This 74-nucleotide transfer RNA is filed under the name Candidatus Omnitrophota bacterium. RNAcentral's name for it is "Candidatus Omnitrophica bacterium tRNA-Ala". It matches the Rfam family "tRNA". From Rfam's summary of the family: Transfer RNA (tRNA) molecules are approximately 80 nucleotides in length. Their secondary structure includes four short double-helical elements and three loops (D, anti-codon, and T loops). Further hydrogen bonds mediate the characteristic L-shaped molecular structure. tRNAs have two regions of fundamental functional importance: the anti-codon, which is responsible for specific mRNA codon recognition, and the 3' end, to which the tRNAs corresponding amino acid is attached (by aminoacyl-tRNA synthetases). tRNAs cope with the degeneracy of the genetic code in two manners: having more than one tRNA (with a specific anti-codon) for a particular amino acid; and 'wobble' base-pairing, i.e. permitting non-standard base-pairing at the 3rd anti-codon position. RNAcentral also lists the same sequence under 1 other name. The record is from RNAcentral. Lineage: Bacteria; Pseudomonadati; Candidatus Omnitrophota.
GGGGACGUAGCUCAUUUUGGGAGAGCGCCGCCCUUGCACGGCGGAGGUAGCCGGUUCGAUCCCGGUCGUCUCCA